UACGUAGGGGGCAAGCGUUGUCCGGAAUCAUUGGGCGUAAAGAGCGUGUAGGCGGCCACACAGGUCUGCUGUGAAAACUCGAGGCUCAACCUCGAGCUGUCGGUGGAAACCGUGUGGCUAGAGUCCGGAAGAGGAGAGUGGAAUUCCCGGUGUAGCGGUGAAAUGCGCAGAUAUCGGGAAGAACACCCGUGGCGAAGGCGGCUCUCUGGGACGGUACUGACGCUGAGACGCGAAAGCGUGGGGAGCGAACAGG
RNAcentral lists this ribosomal RNA (253 nucleotides) under uncultured bacterium. RNAcentral's name for it is "partial 16S ribosomal RNA". It matches the Rfam family "Bacterial small subunit ribosomal RNA", at positions 524 to 776 of the family's 1533-position model. The record is from RNAcentral.